Molecule: ribosomal RNA, 253 nt
Filed under: uncultured bacterium
Lineage: Bacteria
Description: partial 16S ribosomal RNA
Rfam family: Bacterial small subunit ribosomal RNA
Source: RNAcentral
UACGAAGGGUGCAAGCGUUAAUCGGAAUUACUGGGCGCAAAGCGCGCGUAGGUGGUUCAGUAAGUUGGAAGUGAAAUCCCCGGGCUCAACCUGGGAACUGCUUUCAAAACUGCUGAGCUAGAGUACGGUAGAGGGUGGUGGAAUUUCCUGUGUAGCGGUGAAAUGCGUAGAUAUAGGAAGGAACACCAGUGGCGAAGGCGACCACCUGGACUGAUACUGACACUGAGGUGCGAAAGCGUGGGGAGCAAACAGG